This 440-nucleotide long non-coding RNA is filed under the name Sus scrofa (pig). Its description in RNAcentral is "lncRNA (ENSSSCG00035070125.1)". Lineage: Eukaryota; Metazoa; Chordata; Mammalia; Artiodactyla; Suidae. The record is from RNAcentral.
CCACCCCCACAUACAGUAGUGUGUGUUUAACUACCCACCCCCACAUACAGUAGUGUGUGUGUUUCAUUACCCACCCCCACAUACAGUAGUGUGUGUGUUUCAUUACCCACCCCCCAUAUACAGUAGUGUGUAUGUUUAAUUACCCACCCCCCAUACACAGUAGUGUGUAUGUUUAAUUACCCACCCCCCAUACACAGUAGUGUGUGUGUUUAAUUACCCACCCCCAUAUACAGUAGUGUGUAUGUUUAAUUACCCACCCCCCAUAUACAGUAGUGUGUGUGUUUAAUUACCCACCCCCCAUAUACAGUAGUGUGUGUGUUUAAUUACCCACCCCCCAUAUACAGUAGUGUGUGUGUUUAAUUACCCACCCCCCAUACACAGUAGUGUGUGUGUUUAAUUACCCACCCCCCAUAUACAGUAGUGUGUGUGUUUAAUUACCC